CAGCCGGGUAAUUCCAGCUCCAAUAGCGUAUAUUAAAGUUGCUGCAGUUAAAAAGCUCGUAGUUGAAUUUCGGGACCAUCAUGUCGGUCGUGCCUCGGUACGUACUGGCAUUGUUGGUUUCUCCCUUCUGACGAACCAUGAUGUCAUUUAUUUGGUGUUGUGGGAAAUCAGGACUGUUACUUUGAAAAAAUUAGAGUGUUUAAAGCAGGCUCACGCUUGAAUACAUUAGCAUGGAAUAAUGAAAUAGGACGUUUGAUUCUAUUUUGUUGGUUUCUAGGAUCGACGUAAUGAUUAAUAGGGAUAGUUGGGGGCAUUAGUAUUCAAUUGUCAGAGGUGAAAUUCUUGGAUUUAUUGAAGACUAACUACUGCGAAAGCAUUUGCCAAGGAUGUUUUCAUUAAUCAAGAACGAAAGUUAGGGGAUCGAAGACGAUCAGAUACCGUCGUAGUCUUAACCAUAAACUAUGCCGACUAGGGAUCGGAUGAUGUUAAUUUUUUAAUGACUCAUUCGGCGCCUUACG
Molecule: unclassified non-coding RNA, 518 nt
Filed under: uncultured Glomeromycotina
Lineage: Eukaryota; Fungi; Glomeromycota
Description: SSU rRNA
Rfam family: Eukaryotic small subunit ribosomal RNA
Source: RNAcentral